AACCUCUCCACAUCAUGGUUUUAAGGUGCUUGCCAAACGAAUAACAGAGCUUUGUGGCAAUCUCCCGUUAGCUCUACGUGUGGUGGGUUUAUCUUUGUCUGGGAAGAAUGAAGACGAAUGGGAAGAUGUAAUAUGCAGGUUAGAAACUAUUCUUGAUCGCGAUAUCGAGGACGUAUUACGAGUUGGCUAUGAAGGUUUAGAUGAGAACGAGCAAACGCUAUUUCUCCAUAUUGCAGUCUUCUUCAACAAUGAAGAUGGUAAUUUUGUGAAAGCCAUGUUUGAUGACGGUAACUUGGAUGUCAAACGCGGUUUGAAGAUCCUAGUAGAUCGAUCUCUCAUAAACAUAUGCAGUGUCACUGAAAACAUAGUCAUGCACAAAUUACUACAGCAAAUGGCUAAACAAACCAUUCAUAAACAAGAGCCUUGGAAACGUCAGAUCUUAAUGGAUCCUCAUGAGAUUUGUGAUGUCCUCGAGAAUGAAACAGUAAAUUAUAUCUCUUUCUUUUCUCUUUGUUUGACUUUUAUUAACUAGUACUUACUUUAAACAUGGUCAUUUGGUGGAGACGAAACAAAUCCUACAUAUUGUGCUAACUUAUUCUUUGGAAUAUUGGUUUAGGGUACCAGAGCUGUGACUGGAAUAUCAUUUGAUAGAUCUAAUAUCGAUGAAGUAUCUAUCAGCCAGAGCGCUCUUAAAAGAAUGCCAAAUCUUCAGUUCCUCAGAGUCUACCAAACAAGAGGUGAUAAAAUGCACAUACCUGAGAAGAUGGAAUUCCCACGUCGUCUAAGGUUAUUACAUUGGGAGUCAUACCCAAGAAAGAGUCUUCCUCCUAGAUUUCAUCCUGAAUAUCUUGUUGAACUCAAUAUGCGGGAAAGCCGGUUCGAAUACCUCUGGAAAGGAACCCUGGUUAGUGUUAGAACUUUAAAGAUAUGAAUAUAUACACAUUUUAUCUUCUUGUUGAAAUGAUAUUUAAUCAUCUCUCUAUGUUGUUGUGUUGUUUUACUACAUAAAGCCGCUUAGAAAUCUCAAGAAGAUGGAUUUAUUAGGGUCCGAGAAUUUGAAGGAACUCCCGGAUCUUUCAAAGGCUACAAAACUGGAGACAUUACAGCUGAGCAAAUGCAGAAACCUACAAAUCAUUCCAUCUCACAUGAACCUAGUAUCCCUUGUAAGCGUCUCUAUGAUCGGAUGCAUCAGACUGAGAGAUAUUCCAGUUAUGUCAACAAACAUCGAAGCACUGUAUAUCACAGAGACAGCGAUCGAAGAUGAACCUCCAUCAGUUAGGCUUUGCUCUCGUCUUCAGACUCUCAAUCUAAGCCGCAGUGUAAAGCUCACGAGCUUAACACAUCUCCCCAUGACUAUCACAUACCUAGACGUAAGAUACACUGGUAUUAAAAAGAUUCCAGAUUGCAUCAAAGCCCUUCAUGAGCUACAAUUCUUACUGAUAUCAAGCUGCAGAAGACUCACUUCAUUGCCAGAGCUCCCUGGUUCACUUCAAUUUCUACACGCAGAUGAUUGUGAUUCACUAGUGACCAUAUUUUCCCCUUUGAACAUUACUCCAUCUGC
Molecule: long non-coding RNA, 1561 nt
Filed under: Capsella rubella
Lineage: Eukaryota; Viridiplantae; Streptophyta; Magnoliopsida; Brassicales; Brassicaceae
Description: long non-coding RNA (CRUB_LNC004011)
Source: RNAcentral